Molecule: unclassified non-coding RNA, 355 nt
Filed under: Hevea brasiliensis (rubber tree)
Lineage: Eukaryota; Viridiplantae; Streptophyta; Magnoliopsida; Malpighiales; Euphorbiaceae
Source: RNAcentral
CUAUUUUGCUCUCCUUUCUCACUUUUUAUGAAAUGGUUGUUGAGUUAUGAUGCCUAACAUGCUUCUCUCCUUACCAGUACCCAGUACCUAAGAUGGCUUGGGGGGAAGUAGUCAGAAAAGAUAUAACAAACUCUAGAUCUUUUUGAAGUGGUAGCCCUAAAUUGGUUGGAGUGGAGGAAUCCAUGUAGACAACUCCAUCUAAUUUGUGAUUAAGGGUUAGUUUGGUUGAGUUGACUUGAAUUGUUUUCUACUUUCUUAUGCUGACUGCACUUGGGGGCAAAUUUAUUAUGGGGUAAAAGUUAACUGCUUAUUGUUAUAUAUUUUAUGCUUGCUUAUUUCUGAACAUUGAGGAUGU